Molecule: long non-coding RNA, 1774 nt
Organism: Girardinichthys multiradiatus
Lineage: Eukaryota; Metazoa; Chordata; Actinopteri; Cyprinodontiformes; Goodeidae
Exons: 5
Source: RefSeq, a predicted model, not a curated record
GGGCUUGCCGCGUCGCUUCAGUGAGGAGACAUCAACUCUACAGAAGAAAGGAGGUAACACCGAACGUGAAUGAUGCAAAAUGGAAAACCAAACUGGUAGAUCACAGGCAGAGUAUGACCAGCAGAGGGUGAUUGAAGCAGGGCAGCACAUAUUGGCAUUACUCAACAGAGCAAUUCCUCAAGCUCCUAGAGAGGGUCAGAACCUGAGAGUGGAGAGACCACCAAAUGUUGGGUCAGAGAUGGUCAGAUCAUUCCCUGGCUUUUUUAAAAGAGGUAGCAAAAGCAGAAAUGAUCUGAUGAGGCCCAACAGUACAUCAGAAUUUGCAAAAAUGUGGAAGCCACUGGAAGUAACUUUUCUUUUUGUUGGCUUCAAAAAAUGACACCAUCCCUAUCUCUUCUGUUGAGCUGGAACAUUUGCAAGCAGGACUUUGUCCAUCACCUCUGAUCUGACGCAUACAGAGGUGAUCAGAAUUUAAGCAGCUGUGUUUUUGCUUUCAAUUGGUUCUUUUAGGGGGAUCAAGUCCUGUAUAUGCUGUUGUCUUAACAUUUUCCAUAUCUAUACAUAAAAUUGUUACUGUUGACAUGAGUUAUUUAACACCAAGUUUUUAUAUAUAGUUAUCCUGUUUAUUGAGAUCUACCUACCCUCAGAUGCUGGAUCUAGAGGACAGAUGGUUGAUAUACAAAGCCGCAGGUAGGAAUGGAAGGUGAAAAAUGUAUCCUGUCCCGUUGGAGGCAGAGGAAUACACGGGAUCUCUCAUCAGAAGAGCAUCAAGUGGGGGGAAGUACUUGCUAUACUUAAUGCCCCUCCAAGAUGAGUUGGAUUUAACACCCUUGCCUGCAGAUUCACCUGAAUUUGCUCUUAUGCCAAAAGCUGCUUGUAAGAAAUGCAAUGCCUCUGCAAAUGCUGGCCUUGCACAUUGAAAAAUGCAGUGACUUAUCAAGCUCAGACAGUGAGGUAAAUAAUGUGGUUGGGGUAUCAAGGUUGCAAUUGACCCAAUUUUAGAUGUAAAUGAAUGCUGUUUCUGUAUUCAGGAGGCAGAUGUGAUGUACAUAGAGAACACUGCCUCAAGCCUAGCCUUUACCAACAGAGCUGUAUGCUCAGAAUCACCAGAUCAACAUCAUUCUCAGCAGGUAUAUUAUAUGUUAUCAAUAAAGAAAGAAGUUGUGUUUUAAAACAGCAGCUUUAACACUGUGGUUACAUUGAUUUUCAUAUCAUUCUUACAAAACAACCUCCCCUUCUUCACUCUUUUCAACUCAGGAAAUGAACGUGCCUAAUAAUUAUGCACAUCUUGAUAGUAUGUUAGAUUUUAUAUAGGCCAGACCCUCAUUCAAGUUUAUGUUGCUUGGAAAUCUGAAUUUUAUUUUCUAAAUAAUCACGUACCAAAUAUUUGUGAACUGUUAUUAGUUCAACCUGUAUAAGCCAUCUAGACUGUAGAUGGAUGUAAAUUGUAAUAUCUUAAACUCCCUUUCAAAUGUGUCAUAUCCAGCUAAUGUGAUUUUCUGUCAUUCCUCUUACUUCAUUUUAUAUUAUGUAAUUAAUUUUUUUUUCAAUGCAUGGUUCCUUAAAAUUACAAUUGUAUAUUUUUGUAUUUUCUAUACCACUCUUCCUGUUUAGAUGGAUGAAAUCAAAUGUCCAUUGUGCAACAAAUGUUUCCCGUUGUUAGACACAGAAGGGCGUGCCAGCUUCUGCGGUGAAAGAUAUUAAGCAACCAGAUUUGUUUAUAUGGUGAUGUGUGGUAUUUUCAUUCAUGUUUUUAUGUGCUUUGUAAUAAACA